RNAcentral lists this ribosomal RNA (253 nucleotides) under uncultured bacterium. RNAcentral describes it as "partial 16S ribosomal RNA". It matches the Rfam family "Bacterial small subunit ribosomal RNA", at positions 524 to 776 of the family's 1533-position model. The record is from RNAcentral.
UACGUAGGGUGCAAGCGUUGUCCGGAAUUAUUGGGCGUAAAGAGCUCGUAGGCGGCUUGUCACGUCGGUUGUGAAAGCCCGGGGCUUAACCCCGGGUCUGCAGUCGAUACGGGCAGGCUAGAGUUCGGUAGGGGAGAUCGGAAUUCCUGGUGUAGCGGUGAAAUGCGCAGAUAUCAGGAGGAACACCGGUGGCGAAGGCGGAUCUCUGGGCCGAUACUGACGCUGAGGAGCGAAAGCGUGGGGAGCGAACAGG